RNAcentral lists this ribosomal RNA (514 nucleotides) under uncultured bacterium. RNAcentral's name for it is "bacterial SSU rRNA". It matches the Rfam family "Bacterial small subunit ribosomal RNA", at positions 996 to 1509 of the family's 1533-position model. The record is from RNAcentral.
UUUAGCAGAGAUGCUUUAGUGCCUUCGGGAACUCUGAGACAGGUGCUGCAUGGCUGUCGUCAGCUCGUGUUGUGAAAUGUUGGGUUAAGUCCCGCAACGAGCGCAACCCUUAUCCUUUGUUGCCAGCACGUAAUGGUGGGAACUCAGAGGAGACUGCCGGUGAUAAACCGGAGGAAGGUGGGGAUGACGUCAAGUCAUCAUGGCCCUUACGAGUAGGGCUACACACGUGCUACAAUGGCGCAUACAAAGAGAAGCGACCUCGCGAGAGCAAGCGGACCUCAUAAAGUGCGUCGUAGUCCGGAUUGGAGUCUGCAACUCGACUCCAUGAAGUCGGAAUCGCUAGUAAUCGUAAAUCAGAAUGUUACGGUGAAUACGUUCCCGGGCCUUGUACACACCGCCCGUCACACCAUGGGAGUGGGUUGCAAAAGAAGUAGAUAGCUUAACCUUCGGGAGGGCGUUUACCACUUUGUGAUUCAUGACUGGGGUGAAGUCGUAACAAGGUAAGCGUAGUGCU